AUGAGGGUCAAGCUUGAGCUCCUCAUGCCCUUGCUGGCGCAAUACAAAACACCCGCAUGGGCCACAUUGGUCGCCGGGUUCUUUGUGCUGUUUGCCCUUUCCCUCUCCAUGUACCUGAUAUUUGAGCAUCUAUCGGCGUACAACAACCCAGAGGAACAGAAAUUUGUUCUGGGUGUUAUUUUGAUGGUCCCUUGCUAUGCAAUUGAGUCGUAUGUCUCUUUGGUAGAUCCAAAUAUCACUGUCUACUGUGGCAUCUUGCGCGAGGGUUACGAAGCAUUAGCUAUGUACUGCUUUGGAAGAUAUAUCACAGCAUGUUUAGGUGGGGAAGAAAAAACGAUAGCCUUUUUGAAGAGGGAAGGCGGCUCAGAUUCUGGGCAACCCCUUUUGCAUCAUGCCUCCGAGAAAGGAAUCAUACACCAUCAUUUUCCCGUGAAUUAUAUUUUGAAACCCUGGCGAAUGGGGAUGCGAUUUUACCAGAUUAUCAAAUUUGGAAUCUUCCAAUAUGUGAUUAUAAAGACGCUCACAGCUAGCUUAUCUCUUUUUCUAGAAGCUUUUGGUGUAUAUUGUGAAGGUGAAUUCAAUUUACGAUGUGGAUACCCUUAUUUCGCUGCAAUCCUGAAUUUCAGUCAAUUUUGGGCCCUAUACUGUUUAGUGGAAUGGUACACAGCUACCAAGGACGAAUUGGCACAUAUAAAACCUCUGGCUAAGUUUCUUUCGUUCAAGUCAAUAGUAUUCUUGACUUGGUGGCAAGGGGUGGUGAUUGCAAUAAUGUAUUCUUUGGGCCUGCUUAGAAGUCCUUUAGCCCAGAGCUUGCAGUUAAAAUCAAGUAUUCAAGAUUUCAUUAUUUGCAUAGAGAUGGGCAUUGCGUCAGCUGUUCACCUCUAUGUGUUCCCUGCUAAACCCUACGAGCUCUUAGGUAACCAGUCACCUGGAAACAUUUCAGUCCUUGGAGAUUACGCAUCCUCUAACCCUAUAGAUCCUGAAGAAGUCAAGGAGAGUAACCGGCCGAGCAAAAUGAAGCUUCCACAGUUCGAACCGGAUGAGAGAAGUGCAACAAACAUAAAGGAGAGUGUUCGCGACUUUGUGGUUGGCAGUGGGGAAUAUGUGAUCCAGGAUUUUAAGUUCACUGUUAACCAAGCAGUGCGACCGGUGGAGAAGCGGUUUGAUAAACUGCUGAAAAAGAAAGACAAGUAUAAGAACACCCAGGAUGACAACUGGGUGAGUGCAGCAUCACCAGAGAGACCGGUUCGUGGCAUCGAUGAUCCGCUAUUAAGCGGGAGCACAAGUGACAGUGGGGUCUUGAAGGGCAAAAAACACCGUAGAAUUGUCAGCACAGUUGCUACCGCGGAUAGUUGGGGAGGUGGUGGUGAUAAGACACCUGAUGGCUACGAGAUAAGGGGCCGCCGCUGGGCAGUGAAGAAUUGA
Molecule: ribosomal RNA, 1425 nt
Filed under: Triticum aestivum (bread wheat)
Lineage: Eukaryota; Viridiplantae; Streptophyta; Magnoliopsida; Poales; Poaceae
Description: partial small subunit ribosomal RNA
Source: RNAcentral